GCCCAGGUUAGCUUCAAACACAUAGCAUCGCCAGCUUGUGCGCCAGGACAACCUGAUGGAGCCACCGAAGCUGGUGGGAAAGUGCUCUCAAUUUUUCCAUUUCACCUUCUGGGGAGCGAUGUAGCCAAUCACCCCUGACAUCACCCAGUCCCCAGGGACAGAGAGGGCCCUACGUUCCAUGGCCCCCCUUGGCGGGACGAAAGGGACCUGUAUCUGAGAGACAGCAGCCAAUCGGGUCCGCAGACUCGGGCCAGGUUCCCAUACCGUGCCCAACACCCAUCACUCCCCCACGGAGACUCAAGUUACUUUCAAUCUCCACAUCCCCAGUGCUUGCGGAAGAAAUCCGGCUAAGAGACAGAAAUGCGAAACGUAGAAAAGAUCCAAAUUUCCGGCAUCCAAUUAUAUACAAGCCUUGACUCGCCAGGCAUCCAAUCAGAGUAAUGGAUCCAACCAACUGGAGCAGGUAUCCAAUUAGGUAGGGCAGGGUUGCCAUGAUGACACGAGUCUCUCUAUAGGGCUCCCAGGGUCGCGGAGCUCUAGCGCUGAGCGCCCCCUGGCGAUUGGCAAGGCGCGGCCGUCUACUCCAGCAAGCGCGCGCUGGUCGAAGGCAGCCAGUAAGGCAGGGACAAGCCCCUGCGACGUCACUAGUCGCCAGCCGGCCGCCGCGGCCUGCGAGCUCGCGCGUGAGUUCGUGUGAGCUCCCGCCAGCC
RNAcentral lists this long non-coding RNA (710 nucleotides) under Homo sapiens (human). RNAcentral's name for it is "HSALNT0261518". Lineage: Eukaryota; Metazoa; Chordata; Mammalia; Primates; Hominidae. The record is from RNAcentral.